Molecule: ribosomal RNA, 837 nt
Filed under: Arthrobacter sp.
Lineage: Bacteria; Bacillati; Actinomycetota; Actinomycetes; Micrococcales; Micrococcaceae
Description: bacterial SSU rRNA
Rfam family: Bacterial small subunit ribosomal RNA
Source: RNAcentral
UAGAUGAACGCUGGCGGCGUGCUUAACACAUGCAAGUCGAACGAUGAUCCCUGGCUUGCUGGGGGGAUUAGUGGCGAACGGGUGAGUAACACGUGAGUAACCUGCCCUUGACUCUGGGAUAAGCCUGGGAAACUGGGUCUAAUACCGGAUAUGACCGUCCCACGCAUGUGGUGGUGGUGGAAAGCUUUUGCGGUUUUGGAUGGACUCGCGGCCUAUCAGCUUGUUGGUGGGGUAAUGGCCUACCAAGGCGACGACGGGUAGCCGGCCUGAGAGGGUGACCGGCCACACUGGGACUGAGACACGGCCCAGACUCCUACGGGAGGCAGCAGUGGGGAAUAUUGCACAAUGGGCGAAAGCCUGAUGCAGCGACGCCGCGUGAGGGAUGACGGCCUUCGGGUUGUAAACCUCUUUCAGUAGGGAAGAAGCGAAAGUGACGGUACCUGCAGAAGAAGCGCCGGCUAACUACGUGCCAGCAGCCGCGGUAAUACGUAGGGCGCAAGCGUUAUCCGGAAUUAUUGGGCGUAAAGAGCUCGUAGGCGGUUUGUCGCGUCUGCUGUGAAAGACCGGGGCUCAACUCCGGUUCUGCAGUGGGUACGGGCAGACUAGAGUGAUGUAGGGGAGACUGGAAUUCCUGGUGUAGCGGUGAAAUGCGCAGAUAUCAGGAGGAACACCGAUGGCGAAGGCAGGUCUCUGGGCAUUAACUGACGCUGAGGAGCGAAAGCAUGGGGAGCGAACAGGAUUAGAUACCCUGGUAGUCCAUGCCGUAAACGUUGGGCACUAGGUGUGGGGGACAUUCCACGUUUUCCGCGCCGUAGCUAACGCAUUAAGUGCCCCGCC